Molecule: ribosomal RNA, 435 nt
Filed under: bacterium R-15(2011)
Lineage: Bacteria
Description: bacterial SSU rRNA
Rfam family: Bacterial small subunit ribosomal RNA
Source: RNAcentral
AACGGGUGAGUAACACGUGAGUAAUCUGCCCUGUGCUCUGGGAUAGCCACCGGAAACGGUGAUUAAUACCGGAUAUGACGCUGUCACGCAUGUGGUGGUGUGGAAAGUUUUUUCGGCGCAGGAUGUGCUCGCGGCCUAUCAGCUUGUUGGUGAGGUAAUGGCUUACCAAGGCUUUGACGGGUAGCCGGCCUGAGAGGGUGACCGGUCACACUGGGACUGAGACACGGCCCAGACUCCUACGGGAGGCAGCAGUGGGGAAUAUUGGACAAUGGGCGGAAGCCUGAUCCAGCAACGCCGCGUGAGGGAUGACGGCCUUCGGGUUGUAAACCUCUUUCAAUACCGACAAAGCUUUUCUUUUGGGAGGGUGACGGGAGGUACAGAAGAAGGACCGGCCAACUACGUGCCAGCUCCGCGGUAAUACGUAGGGUCCGAGCG